GAUCCUCCUGGGCCAUAGUCUAGGGGGCGACGGGGCAGGGUUCUCUAGUGCAGUAGUUCAGGGUGCGGUGGGGCAAGGAUAGUCCAGAUCUCCAUGGCGGGGGUUCCUCUGUGCAGGAGCCCAGUGCCCGGCGGAUCGGGGUCCCUCCGUGCUGUAGUCCAGGGCACGGCAAGAUGUGGGUCCUCUGGUGCCCUAUCCAGGGGGCGGUGGGUCAGAGGUUCUCCCCUGUCUUGGUCUAGGGCCCGGCGGGACUGAGGUCCUGGAGUCCACGCGGUAGCCCAAGUUGCCUCAGGACCAGGUCCUCUGGAUCCACAGUCCAGAGCACAGAGGGGCAGGAAUAGCUCAGGGCGAGCCAGGGCCGAGGUCCUCGGGAGCCACAGUCCAGGGUGUGGAGGGGUGGGGGUUCUGCAGUGGCACAGCCCAGGACACAGCGGGGCGGGGCGGGGAUCCUCUGGUACCUUAGUCCAGGGCGGAGCCGGGGGAGAGGUCCUUCAGUAGCAUAGUCUAGCGCAUGGCGUUGCAGGGGUCCUCCAGUGCCUGAGGCCAGGGCGGGUCGCGGGUCCCACUGUACUCUCGUUCAGGGCGGAGCAGGUCUGGGGUCUUCUGCUUCAGUCUAGGGUGCUGGAGAGUGGGGGUCCUCUGGUGCCAGAGUCCAUGGAGCCAUGGGUCGGCGUCCUGCCAUGUCUUAGCCCAGAACGGGGAGAGGCGGAGAUCCUCCUUUGCCCUAGUCCAAGGCAUUGUGAGGCCCCGCUCCUGCACAGAGGCGGUCUGUUCCUCUACCGCCGUGGGGAAAAACUGCACCAUCUCUGGCAAGCCUAACCCAGCAGCUGUCCUUAAAAGAUUCCCAGUUGAGUGUGGUUCAGAGCAGCCCUGAGAAGUGUGCCCUUAGAUGGCUUCAAGGGCUCUGGGCAGUGUUUAAGGAAUCCAGCUGACCUCAGUUACUCCAAGCCCUUUUCCACUCAGCAGAACUUCUGGCCACCCGGGUCCUCUAUCUGUGGAGCCCUUCUAUCAUCCCAGAUCCCCACAGGGUGGACUCCCUCUCAUCCUCACAAUCUCAGCUCAGGCCUUAUUCAUCACCGCAUUCCUGGCACCAGGCCUGGCCCAUGAGAAAUGGGUCAGAUUAAGAGCUAAAUGUGUUUUCAUGGUCACUUGUUUUCUUCAGGCCUCCUUUCUUUGUGCCAACAUCUUUGGGUUUCUGGUUAAAGUUUUCAGCAGCUGCAUGCGGUUCCAUUUUUCUUACCAGGUAAGAGACAUAGCUUCAUGAAAACAAAGGCAGAACGCUUGUGACCAGAGAACUCCCAGUCCUCUCCCUGCAUAGGAAAACUGGACUUCUCCGGAAGGCUCCAGCUCCUGGGCAAAUCUCUAGGGCCACUUAAUUGGGCUAUCCCCCACCUUUGUUUCUGGUUUUGAAGGGACCAAAGUUGGGAAUCCUUUUUCAGUCUCUACACACGGAGCCCUUCUUUGGUGGGAAAGUCUUAACAUAUACCAGGAUUCUCACUGACCUUUCAGAGCCUUCAAGAAUCCUGAGCUGCUUUGGCUUCUGUUCCUGGAAGAGAGGCCACUGAACUGCUCUGGAGCUGGAUUUCAAGUUCAGAUAUUCAUCACUGUUACUAAGCCUUUACAUAGCAUGUGAUUUCUUUCUGGCAGGCUCAUGGUCACCUAGGUUUGCUUAUAUGUAGAUGGAGGGUCUGCAUCCUCAUUCAGGUAACACCCUCAGUCUUUCAUGCUGAGAUUGGCCAUUUUAUUUGUAACUCACUGUACAAUCCAUUUGCUCUUCGAGUGUCCCUUAGAAGGAUGCAGAGUGUUCUGUAGAAUGCCAUAGAGACCUGGGUUUAGGGAAAAUAUUUGACCAAAUGUCCACCAACUCACAUGAGUAUCUCCCCACAACUUGUACAGUGCUAGUCUCUGGGUAUAUAGUAAAUGAAACCGUGCCUGAGCAGAUGUUACAAACGCCCUCCACUGUGAGACUGCAGGGCUGCUUUAUUCAAGCAACAGUGUGCUCUAAUAAGGUCAGAGUUGAGAGAAACAAGUUUUCAUUCCAGCUUUCUCAAAAACUCCCUUUGUGACUUUAGACAUCAUAAUAACACUACCUAAGUAGUGAACACCUCUGUGCCAAGAAAUAUCAUGGUCAUUGCCUGAGUUGUAAUUCUCACAGUAGUCCUACAGGAUAGCUGCUAUUACUGCUUAUUACGCAGAUGGACAACCUGAGGCUCAGAUGGAGUUAAGUGGCUUAAUUGGUAGCAAUCGAGCCAGGAUUUGAACCCAGGGCUGCCUGAUCACCAAAUAAAAUUGUAUUCAACAUGAUGCACUUAACUUUUCUGGCCUCAUUUCUCUCACCUGUAAAAAUGCAGGUUUCAGAUGUUUGUAAUAUUUUACCUGUGGUUUAAAGAGUUACCAGCCCUUCCUCGAUGACCCAUGGUAAGACCCAUGAGCCUUUGAAUAUAAUUAUAGAAAACAUUUGAAGAGGGAUAGAGAAAGACGAGAUCAUGGCUCCUUUGAUAACGUCAAAUUUUCAGUGCACUAAGCCAUACAUAGUGCAGUUUUCUAGCUUCCCUUUCACAAACGGUGUUGAAGAAAGUAAAUUAAGCAACUCAGCUAUCACUGGGAAUGCAGUAGAAGUAAUCAAGUCCAGUGCUGGGAGAUAGUUGCCAUGAUAUUCCAACAUGGACACCAGGAUCACAGUCGAUGACUAUGCCCUCCCUUGAAGAUGGUGGCUUGCCUCUCUUUCUGUAAGCAAAUGUCAUGUCAUAACAGUAUUAAACAAUUACAAGUAAUGUCCCCAUCUGCUUCUGCACUGCCUUUGAAAUACUAUUUCAGAUCUGCCAAAAUAAAUGGCAAACUCGUUAACAAGAAAGCAGGGUGGGGGGUGCAUUCAUCCCUGCCUUCCUGAGUAGUCUAUUCACCCAAAGACAAAAGGAUGACCAGCUUCCAUCAGGGAUAUUCAAAGACACAGUCACCCUGCCAUGCAGCCAGAGGCUGGCAAAGGUCCAAUCCCCUUUUUAAGAAGCUUGUUGGAUGAGCUCUUUAAACAUACAACCACAAAGGAAAGGCACAGCCAGUGUGAGGGAGGCUGAUAAGAUGGGCAUUUUGUUUGCUUCAAGGUUAGAAUGCAACUUGUCUAUCAAAAUGUGGUUAUCUGACCUCCACAAUGCUGCAGUCCAGUUAAAUACUGCAAAUAUUCAUCCACCAUUUACUAUGGAUAAAACAAUAAUGUGCUGUGGGGAAUCCAAUUACACAGACACACACACACCCAAGAAAGUGCACACACACGUGGGCACACACACUGCUCCUGCUGCCUCAGAGCUUCCAGGCCGGCAAGGAGUAAGUGCAAACAUUAGUAGGUAAGUCUGCUACCAGGAAGAAUAUGAUAAGUAGAUCCAACAGGGUACAACGCAGUAUGAUAGAAGCAAACAAGGUUGAGAUGAGUUCUGACUCCCUUUCACUUAUAAAACUGAUUAUGGAAUAGUUUAUGAAAGACUCGCCUGGAUGAAUCUCAUAUUUUCCAAGUGUUUUCUAUCCCAGUGAUUGGAACUUUUAUUCCUCUAUACCAUUGUCCAAAAAGAAAGAACAGGAGAUUUUCCUAAGACCAUCCUCUGUCUUAUCCCUCAUAUCCCAAACAUCACCAAGCCCUGUCCACUUUUACCUACUCAGUUUCUCUCCACUUGCUCUAUUUUCUCCAUAAGCACUAGCAAUACCUUGGUUACAUGACAUUCUGAGAAACUUCUUUGUGAUGUGUGCU
This 3739-nucleotide long non-coding RNA is filed under the name Homo sapiens (human). RNAcentral's name for it is "HSALNT0375493". Lineage: Eukaryota; Metazoa; Chordata; Mammalia; Primates; Hominidae. The record is from RNAcentral.